Molecule: ribosomal RNA, 245 nt
Filed under: uncultured bacterium
Lineage: Bacteria
Description: partial 16S ribosomal RNA
Rfam family: Bacterial small subunit ribosomal RNA
Source: RNAcentral
UACGAAGGGGCUAGCGUUGCUCGGAAUCACUGGGCGUAAAGCGCACGUAGGCGGGUCUUUAAGUCAGGGGUGAAAUCCUGGAGCUCAACUCCAGAACUGCCUUUGAUACUGAGGAUCUCGAGUCCGGGAGAGGUGAGUGGAACUCCGGAGUGUAGAGGUGAAAUUCGUAGAUAUUCGGAAGAACACCAGUGGCGAAGGCGGCUCACUGGCCCGGUACUGACGCUGAGGUGCGAAAGCGUGGGGAG